GUCCCCUUCUUCUUCCACGCUAACCACCUCUUCUCUGUUCCAUCUUCCACGCUCCACUUCUCUAGAUAAAGAUCUAGAGAUAGGCCUUAGAGAGAGAGAAAGAAAAUCAAGAAGGAGUUCUUAAUUUUUUUUGAUGGUUAGGAUGAAUCUCCAAGAUCCUAUACAGGACUAUAUCAAGUAGAUUCAAGUAAAGGACCAUAAUCCAAGCAGAAGAACAAAGCCUGCAAGAGAGCUCGCACCCUAGAGAUUUUGGAGUUCUAAUCGAGAUAUCUCUGUGUGGAUAUCAAC
RNAcentral lists this long non-coding RNA (288 nucleotides) under Elaeis guineensis (African oil palm). Its description in RNAcentral is "long non-coding RNA (EGUI_LNC043831)". Lineage: Eukaryota; Viridiplantae; Streptophyta; Magnoliopsida; Arecales; Arecaceae. The record is from RNAcentral.